This is a long non-coding RNA of Pezoporus occidentalis (night parrot), 317 nucleotides long. RefSeq lists it as uncharacterized. The record is from RefSeq and is a predicted model, not a curated record. Lineage: Eukaryota; Metazoa; Chordata; Aves; Psittaciformes; Psittacidae. The transcript has 3 exons.
ACUUAUCUCUACAGGGCAGGCAAAUCUUCUGGUGAAGUCCUGCUGUGCACAAGCUCUUCCAGUGGUCAGCAAAUGAGCAGUUUCCUCAUUUAAGGCUCACUGUGGUCUGAAGGUCGCCUUCGCACAGGAAUACACCAAGCUCAGGUGUGCCCAGAUGGCUCCGAGAAACCCAUGGGACCUCACAAUGGGAUUUACUGGCCGUAAUACUAUGCAAACGUAAACCUCCCUCUCCCUCCCACCGCUUUGGGUAACACCGAUCCAAAGAAAAUCCACCUCUUCCAAAUCUGCCCAUCGCAGCUUGCAGAGAGGUUCAGCUC